Molecule: ribosomal RNA, 492 nt
Filed under: uncultured bacterium
Lineage: Bacteria
Description: partial 16S ribosomal RNA
Rfam family: Bacterial small subunit ribosomal RNA
Source: RNAcentral
AGUGAACGCUGGCGGUAGGCCUAACACAUGCAAGUCGAACGGCAGCACAUUAAGAGCUUGCUCUUACGGGUGGCGAGUGGCGGACGGGUGAGGAAUACAUCGGAAUCUACUUUUUCGUGGGGGAUAACGUAGGGAAACUUACGCUAAUACCGCAUACGACCUACGGGUGAAAGCAGGGGAUCUUCGGACCUUGCGCGUUUGAAUGAGCCGAUGUCGGAUUAGCUAGUUGGCGUGGUAAAGGCCCACCAAGGCGACGAUCCGUAGCUGGUCUGAGAGGAUGAUCAGCCACACUGGAAGUGAGACACGGUACAGACUCCUACGGGAGGCAGCAGUGGGGAAUAUUGGACAAGGGGCGCAAGCCUGAUCCAGCAAUACCGCGUGGGUGAAGAAGGCCUUAGGGUUGUAAAGCCCUUUUGUUGGGAAAGAAAAGCAGCAGGUUAAUACCCCGCUGUUCUGACGGUACCCAAAGAAUAAGCACCGGCUAACUACGUG